Molecule: long non-coding RNA, 155 nt
Filed under: Mustela putorius furo (domestic ferret)
Lineage: Eukaryota; Metazoa; Chordata; Mammalia; Carnivora; Mustelidae
Description: lncRNA (ENSMPUG00000030090.1)
Source: RNAcentral
CUGGUAUUGUCCCCAGCUCUCAAGGAACAGAUGAAAAAAUGCACAGCAAGGAUGGCCACUACAGAGACAGAAGAUUGGUGUGGAAGAACCAUGAGACCUUCCUUGACAUUCUCAGAAUUGGUGGAGGAGCUCUGUGAAUCCCAAAAGGUGGGUGG